UACAGAGGGUGCGAGCGUUAAUCGGAAUUACUGGGCGUAAAGCGCGCGUAGGCGGCUUUGCAAGUCGGGUGUGAAAUCCCCAGGCUUAACCUGGGAACUGCAUUCGAGACUGCAUUGCUAGAGUAUGGGAGAGGGAAGUGGAAUUUCCGGUGUAGCGGUGAAAUGCGUAGAUAUCGGAAGGAACAUCAGUGGCGAAGGCGACUUCCUGGACCGACACUGACGCUGAUGAGCGAAAGCCAGGGGAGCAAACGGG
Molecule: ribosomal RNA, 253 nt
Filed under: uncultured bacterium
Lineage: Bacteria
Description: partial 16S ribosomal RNA
Rfam family: Bacterial small subunit ribosomal RNA
Source: RNAcentral